GAAAACGCAUUCAUAGUGUGAUCCAUAAAUGCAUCAUCUGUCAGAAACUCAGAGGAAGAAUUGUUGAACAGAAAAUGGCAGAUCUUCCUCCUGAUCGACUAGCUACUGAUCCACCUUUCACUUAUGUCGGCCUUGACGUCUUUGGGCCCUGGAUGGUCGCCUCUCGCCGUACUCGAGGUGGCUUGGCAAACAGCAAAAGAUGGGUACUCAUUUUUACCUGUUUGAGUAUUCGAGCAGUGCACUUUGAGCUGAUUGAUUCUCUUGAUGCAUCUACCUUUAUCAACGCCCUCCGCCGCUUCUUUGCCAUAAGGGGUCCAGCAAAACAAAUCAGAUCAGACUGUGGCACAAAUUUCAAGGGUGCUUGUAAGGAGCUGGGAAUGCUUGCAGAGGAGCUUAGUUUUAGGAGCUACUUGAAUGAGGAAGGAUGUCGUUGGAUCUUUAAUCCCCCUCAUGCAUCCCAUAUGGGAGGAGCUUGGGAGCGACUUAUCGGAGUUCCACGUCGCAUAUUAGACUCCAUGCUGCUUCAAAACAGUCACUCUCAUCUCACUCAUGAAAUGCUGGCUACAUUCUUGGCAGAAGUUUCUGCAAUUAUGAACUCAAGACCUCUCGCACCGAUCUCAAGUGACCCAAAUUCACCCGCCCUGUUGACUCCAGCCACUCUUUUGACUCAGAAAGUUGGUGUCUUGUCUCCUCCUCCAGGGGACUUUGAAAAGGAUUUUUGCCGCCAGAAAUGGAAGCAAGUUCAACAACUUGCCAGCACCUUCUGGGAAAGGUGGCGACGUGAGUACCUAGUCAAUCUUCAAAGUCGCCGCAAAUGGCACACGAACCAGCCUAACAUCAGGGAAGGAGAUAUUGUACUUAUGAAGGAGGCUCAAGUUAAGAGAAAUGACUGGCCGAUGGCUCUAGUCACUAAGGUCUUCCCAGGCGAAGAUGAAAAGGUCAGGAAAAUUGAAAUCAAGGUCACCAAGGAUGGGAAGUGUAAAACUUAUCUGAGACCUGUAUCCCAAGUGAUUCUUCUUCUGUCAUCAGAAGGACAGAAUGAAUAAUGUUCUACAGAACAGUUGCAUUGUUAGUAGUGGUAUUUCUAAAAUACCAGACGGGGAGUGUUCUGACUAUUUAUGUAGUCAUUUAAUUUUGGUUUUAUUUAAUUGGUUAAGAUGCAUCAUGUGACUUAGGUUAGAGGUCGUGGUGGCCAUUUUAGUUUUCACUUCUCCACAGCAGUGAUGCUGCAGCAGAUGUCUCUCUGAUAAAGAUAUAUUCUUCUGUUAUUUCAUGCUAAAGAGGCCAUCGUCUUUUCACAAAAAUGUACGUUGUGGGAAAGAAGAUUUCUAAGUAAAACACCGAAAAAGAACCUUUUUUGGUUUCGACUUUUUCUUCAACCCUCAUCCUGUUUAACUAUCUGUUGAGGUGCAACAUACUUGCAUCAGGGACAGAAUAAUUAUAUUAUACGUAUCUGCACUUUAACUCAAGUACUUGAUUUGUGUACUUCGUCCACCACUGCACAGAGGAGAAACAAUAAUGUACAGCAUGUGGAAAAUAAUGAUUUUUGAACCUUAAACUACAUAAACACACCCC
This is a long non-coding RNA of Cyprinus carpio carpio, 1575 nucleotides long. The record is from Ensembl. Lineage: Eukaryota; Metazoa; Chordata; Actinopteri; Cypriniformes; Cyprinidae.